ACCUGUGAACACCACUCUGCUCUGCAGGCAUGUGGCCAGAGGCUGGAGGAUGGAGGGAUCUCAUUACAGGCAUCUGUGGUUUUGUUUUGUUUUACAGAAAAAAAAAGUGAUAAAGCAAUCAGAAGACCAAGAGGUUUACUGUUGAUGCUUAGGGUCGUCUGACCUUGGCUGGCCAAUAGACCUACACGGCCAAAUUAAUUUAUGAGAGUAAUAAUUUUUCAAAAGCCAAUUUUUUUUCUGUAUUUUCUUUGUGAAACUGCCAAUAUCAUGAAUAGAAAGGGAGAACCAUAAAGGAGAAAGAACGUGAUGUUCAGUUAUGAUCGUGUGAACCUAAAGAAAAAACGUGGAGGCAGGUGCCAUCAGCCGAACUCUAGGGACUUGAUGGUGUUGCUUGGAAGGCAUCCAUACCUGCAUUUUGCAUUCUUUGUAUGUAAUCAUAUUGCCAAAGACAAAC
Molecule: long non-coding RNA, 454 nt
Filed under: Homo sapiens (human)
Lineage: Eukaryota; Metazoa; Chordata; Mammalia; Primates; Hominidae
Description: HSALNT0294577
Source: RNAcentral